RNAcentral lists this long non-coding RNA (782 nucleotides) under Eptatretus burgeri (inshore hagfish). RNAcentral describes it as "lncRNA (ENSEBUG00000017223.1)". The record is from RNAcentral. Lineage: Eukaryota; Metazoa; Chordata; Myxini; Myxiniformes; Myxinidae.
CUCGUCGACCUUCUUAGACCCCAAAAUGUUUUUUCUUCAUUUUUUUUUAAUGAUGUGAACAAACUUUGGUCCAUACCUUGUGAUGAAGGUUGUGGUCAAGUUUCAUUGAAAUUGUGUUGUUUAAUUUCAGAGAAGUUGCGAAUGUCUGUGGACAGACUGACGGACGGACGGUGCGUUAUCCCAUAAACUCCCUGGAACUACAUUCCAGGCAUGGCGUUGCAUCGAUGAUUGCGCCCUCCGUCAGAUGGGACACGAAGUUGGGGAGCCGACUGCCAGCGUGUUGGUUGCUGGUGCACGUGAAGGAUUCCCAUGGUGUUUUCACAAAGAGGUGACUCAUCAAUGUGUGUGCCAUCUCUCGGGUAGACGUUAAACUGGGAAACCCGUCUACAUCUUCCGGCAUUCUUUGAUGGACUUUAAAGAUCCAACGGUGUCCUUCGCGAAGAGCAGAGAGCGACUUGGGAUUGAAUGGCAAAGGAAGCAAAGACUAUGGAGUUCGCCACGGUUCACUUGGCUACGCCUUGAUGGAUUUGAGGGUUGUGGAGUAGCGGCUGAAACUGAAACCCGAAUCCUAUCCAGGUUUCUCCUGAUGACUCCAUCUUUGCUCUUUACUUCUUCAGGUUCCUUCUUGGUCUUCCGUUUGAUUCACAUACACACUGUUGUUUAAAUGGUAGCCUGGUGUUGGCGCAGUGGUUAGGGCAGCGGCUUGGGAUCCAAAAGGUCCUGAGUUCAAGCCCCGUUGGGCCAGGGGGGGGGGGGGGGGGGGGGGGGGGGGGGGGGGGGGG